RNAcentral lists this ribosomal RNA (498 nucleotides) under uncultured bacterium. RNAcentral's name for it is "partial 16S ribosomal RNA". It matches the Rfam family "Bacterial small subunit ribosomal RNA", at positions 28 to 523 of the family's 1533-position model. The record is from RNAcentral.
GAUGAACGCUAGCGGCAGGCCUAAUACAUGCAAGUCGGACGGGAUUUGGGAGCUUGCUCCUAAUGAGAGUGGCGCACGGGUGCGUAACACGUAUGUAACCUACCUUAAUCAGGGGGAUAGCCUCUCGAAAGAGAGAUUAACACCGCAUAAUAUACUUUUAUGGCAUCGUAGAAAUAUCAAAUAUUUAUAGGAUUAAGAUGGGCAUGCGGAACAUUAGCUAGUUGGUAAGGUAACGGCUUACCAAGGCUACGAUGCUUAGGGGAUCUGAGAGGAUGACCCCCCACACUGGUACUGAGACACGGACCAGACUCCUACGGGAGGCAGCAGUAAGGAAUAUUGGUCAAUGGGCGCAAGCCUGAACCAGCCAUGCCGCGUGCAGGAAGACGGCCCUAUGGGUUGUAAACUGCUUUUGUACCGGAAUAAACCCUUUUACGUGUAGAAGGCUGAAUGUACGGUAAGAAUAAGGAUCGGCUAACUCCGUGCCAGCCGCCGCAGUAA